This is a long non-coding RNA of Brassica napus (rape), 1599 nucleotides long. RefSeq lists it as uncharacterized. The transcript has 5 exons. The record is from RefSeq and is a predicted model, not a curated record. NCBI's taxonomy places the organism in Eukaryota, Viridiplantae, Streptophyta, Magnoliopsida, Brassicales, Brassicaceae.
GAACUGAAAAUCUGGUAUAAAACUUGUGUUUUGAUUUUUUUUUGUACCUUAUGAAGUUAAAUUUUUUAAACAAUUAUUACAUAAUUUCUCAGUGAAUUUUAUUAUAUUCUGACUUCUAAUAUAUUUUGUGGGUAAUGGUUCAAAACAUUUUCUGAUGUAAUAUAUAUUUUGGUUUGGUGUGUUUUGAAUGCAAAGUUAUAAAUAUAAUACUAUACAAUAUUACUAUAGUAUUAUUAUAUAAAACUAUAUAUUUAUUUUUGAAACAUAAUCUGGACCAACGUAAUUCAUGAGCACCAAUUUUCUUGCCCAACUUACACAUUUUCACUAAGCCCAUCACAAACUAAUUAUUCCGGGAACAUAAAUAUUAAGUUACGUUAGUAAAAAAGUCAACUAUUCAAAAAAACACUAAACGUCUUUAUCGGUGUCUGUCUCUCUGAUCUGUUCAUCUUCCUCGGUAUCCAUAAUCAUCAAAGUAAAAGAAAAAGCUAUACAAAUCCAGAGUAAACACAGAGAUUUAUGUUGAAUUUGAUACUCGAUCUAUCGACUAAAGCUUGCACCCUUUGAUCUAACCAAGAAGAAGAAGAAGACAUUUGUCAUUCAGGAUGUCAUCGAGGACUCAGCUGAGUCACACGUGAGACAUAUUAUCCGUUGUCUGAUUGUUCAAGAAGAGUUUAUGUGCUGUGAAACAUAUUUGUUUCUUUUCAUCAGUUGCUUUGUUUAAUCUUUUUUCCUGCAAAUAAUGACGGCUUUGACAAUUCAUUUACGGGAGCCAAGAAGUAAAAGAAGAAGAAGCCAGUUGAACGAAGAUCAUUGAAUAAAGAAAAUGUCGAUGCUCCAGAAGAUUUGGAGGAGCAUCCUAAUGACGAGGAAGAGGUGGAGGGAAUUGAUCUGCACCAGCAACGUUACCCGUGGGAGGGAAGUGACAUGGAUUACUUAUACGACGAGGUAAGCAUAUCAUUAGAUGGUUUGCGGUCCAUCUUUGAGAGCCGUCGAUUGUAAGUGUCUAUCGUUUUGAAGUUGCACGACACUAAGAUGUAAAGAUUACUAAUCACGAUUACCUUACUAGCAGAGUUCUUUUGCACAGCUAUUGUCAAUGGAAUUAACACUUGAAAUUGAUGGUGCUAUAUUUCAUGUUCCAAAUGCUAACGCAAACUCCAAUGUUGAUUCUCAGCUUUAACAUGUCAAAAUCCCAAUGCAGUGGGUGUUGUAAGGUAAUUCAGUAGACACAAAUGUUCAGUUGAAAAAAAAUUCUAAACUGUAUUUAUGCAUCAAACUUAUCAUCCGUAACAUAAUAAUAUGCUUUUUCUGUGCUAGGAACCGUUUGUAAAUAAAUGUCUCGGAUGUAUAUGACUGCUGAGUUUGUUUCUUUUGACAGUGAAAUCACUAAGAUUGCAAUGUGUCAGGACAUCAAAAGCAUCUAAGCUUAUGCUCAUUCUCCAUCUAACUUCUCGGUGUUACUAUAUAAUGAUCAAGUCAUUUUCUGCACAAAUAGGCAAGUGGGGAUGUUACGUUGGGUGCUUUUUAUUGGGAUUUGCUAUACAAAGUCUGUUGUGACUCUAAAACUUUUACCUCAUUUAACAUUGAUUCUGGUUCUUGGGA